RNAcentral lists this ribosomal RNA (429 nucleotides) under uncultured bacterium. RNAcentral describes it as "bacterial SSU rRNA". It matches the Rfam family "Bacterial small subunit ribosomal RNA", at positions 967 to 1395 of the family's 1533-position model. The record is from RNAcentral.
AACUUAACCUAGGCUUGACAUGUUUCGGACAGCCCCAGAGAUGGGGUCUCCCUUCGGGGCCGAUUCACAGGUGGUGCAUGGUCGUCGUCAGCUCGUGUCGUGAGAUGUUGGGUUAAGUCCCGCAACGAGCGCAACCCUCGCCUUGUGUUGCCAGCACGUUAUGGUGGGAACUCACAAGGGACCGCCGGGGUUAACUCGGAGGAAGGUGGGGAUGACGUCAGAUCAUCAUGCCCCUUACGUCUAGGGCUUCACGCAUGCUACAAUGGCCGGUACAACGAGAUGCGACAUGGCGACAUGAAGCGAAUCUCUUAAAACCGGUCUCAGUUCGGAUUGGAGCCUGCAACUCGGCUCCAUGAAGGCGGAGUCGCUAGUAAUCGCGAAUCAGCAACGUCGCGGUGAAUGCGUUCCCGGGUCUUGUACACACCGCCU